This 374-nucleotide ribosomal RNA is filed under the name Camelomantis moultoni. Its description in RNAcentral is "partial 12S ribosomal RNA". Lineage: Eukaryota; Metazoa; Arthropoda; Insecta; Mantodea; Mantidae. The record is from RNAcentral.
AUACCCUAUUAUUUUUAUUGUAAAAUUAUUUAAGCUGUAGUAUUAAUAGUUAUGAUCUUAAAACUUAAAGAAUUUGGCGGUAUUAUAGUCUAUUUAGAGGAAUCUGUUAUAUAAUCGAUAGUCCACGUUGAACCUUACUUAUAUUAAUUUUUGUAUAUCUCUGUUUAAGUAAAUAUUUUUAGAUGAAUUUUCUGAAUAUAAUAUUAUUUAAUAUUUCAAGUCAAGGUGCAGAAAUAUAUAAGUUGAGUAAUGGAUUACAAUAAAUUUUAUUUAUAACGAAUUGUUAUUGUAACAUAAUUUGAAGGGGGAUUUAAUUGUAAUUUUAUAAAGAUUAUUAAAAUGAUUAAUAGCUCUAUAAUAUGUACACAUCGCCC